UAAAAAAAAUUAUAAUUUUUAUGGCCAAUAAUACUGAUACAUUUUAGGAGCUAGGCGGGUAUACUAUCGAUAGCACGGAGAAUUUUGUGCUACCAAGUUGUUUUUAAUGGUGCGGCUUCCAAACCGACCAUCGGUUCUGUUAGACUUGAUCUACAUUAUUGAAAGUAUUUGGAAACUAAAUUUUAUAAUUUUUUGGCAUCAUUUACCUAUCAAAUGAAUAGUCUAAAAAUGAACGGAUGAAAAUAAAAAUCUCAUAAAAAAUGAUGAUAAAAGACUUGAAUUUAAGAUCAGAGUUAGUGAUCUUACUUGAAAAAAAUUUUCUAUAAAAAUUUCAUUAGAUUUGGAUUGUUUUAUAUCGUUAAAUUCACAAACGCAUCACAUCUAUCAUUAAAAUUGUCAAUUUUGAGACAUUUUGAUCACUAGCCAAAUGAUGUCGAAAAAUUAUGAAAUUUAAUUUCCAAAUACUUUUAAUAGUAUUGAUCAAGUCUAACGGAGCCGAUCGUCGAUUUAGAAGCCGCAUUAUUAAAGACAACUUGGCAGUACGGAGGCCUCCGUGCUAUCAAUAAUAUACCAGCCUAGCUCUAUAUUUUAGACCAAUUUACAUAAAAAAUUUACUAAUUUUGCUAUUUUAUAAAGGUGGACCACUAUUUUGAGUUUUAUAGAUUCGGACCGAAUUUUCAACCAACUGACAAAUAUAUCUUUAUUUCUUUUUCCUUUUUUUUCUUCGUUCUUUUUUUUCUUCUCUCUGACCCUCAUUGCCUCCUCCACCGCCUCUGCGGCCUUCGACGACGGUAAAGAAGGCGGUGCCACCUCCUCUUCCUUCAUGUCCUUCUCCGCCAGC
Molecule: long non-coding RNA, 841 nt
Filed under: Ananas comosus (pineapple)
Lineage: Eukaryota; Viridiplantae; Streptophyta; Magnoliopsida; Poales; Bromeliaceae
Description: long non-coding RNA (ACOM_LNC020841)
Source: RNAcentral